This 408-nucleotide ribosomal RNA is filed under the name uncultured Peyronellaea. RNAcentral describes it as "eukaryotic LSU rRNA". The stretch from base 113 to 266 matches the Rfam family "5.8S ribosomal RNA". The record is from RNAcentral. Lineage: Eukaryota; Fungi; Ascomycota; Dothideomycetes; Pleosporales; Didymellaceae.
CUCUUACCCAUGUCUUUUGAGUACCUUCGUUUCCUCGGCGGGUCCGCCCGCCGAUUGGACAAUUUAAACCAUUUGCAGUUGCAAUCAGCGUCUGAAAAAACUUAAUAGUUACAACUUUCAACAACGGAUCUCUUGGUUCUGGCAUCGAUGAAGAACGCAGCGAAAUGCGAUAAGUAGUGUGAAUUGCAGAAUUCAGUGAAUCAUCGAAUCUUUGAACGCACAUUGCGCCCCUUGGUAUUCCAUGGGGCAUGCCUGUUCGAGCGUCAUUUGUACCUUCAAGCUCUGCUUGGUGUUGGGUGUUUGUCUCGCCUCUGCGCGCAGACUCGCCUCAAAACAAUUGGCAGCCGGCGUAUUGAUUUCGGAGCGCAGUACAUCUCGCGCUUUGCACUCAUAACGACGACGUCCAAA